Small nucleolar RNA from Podarcis muralis (Common wall lizard), 89 nucleotides. Ensembl annotates it as small nucleolar RNA SNORD100. Its record names the gene SNORD100. The record is from Ensembl. NCBI's taxonomy places the organism in Eukaryota, Metazoa, Chordata, Lepidosauria, Squamata, Lacertidae.
GCUGUACAGUGAUGAUAACUUGGCUCCCUCUACUGAGACUUGUGAGGAGAACAACCACUAACGUUACCCUUUAUUUCUGAGUGUACAGC